GUCCCUGUAGAGCAAUGGAUAGCGAGUUGGACUCCUAAUCCAAAAGUUGUGGGUUCGAAUCCCACCAGGGAUG
Molecule: transfer RNA, 73 nt
Filed under: Trichonephila inaurata madagascariensis
Lineage: Eukaryota; Metazoa; Arthropoda; Arachnida; Araneae; Nephilidae
Rfam family: tRNA
About the family: Transfer RNA (tRNA) molecules are approximately 80 nucleotides in length.
Source: Rfam by way of RNAcentral